Meriones unguiculatus (Mongolian gerbil) is the source of this 5275-nucleotide long non-coding RNA. RefSeq lists it as uncharacterized. The transcript has 5 exons. The record is from RefSeq and is a predicted model, not a curated record. NCBI's taxonomy places the organism in Eukaryota, Metazoa, Chordata, Mammalia, Rodentia, Muridae.
CAACCUUAACCAGCAGGGCACCUCCAACAUCUGCCCCUAUUUUAUUUUAUAAUGGAGAAGUGUCACUGAAUUUUAAGAAAGUUUCCAUCUAUAUCAGUGGAGUCUAAGGCCUGACAUCAAACUAUGGCCUGGUUUGCGGUAAUUCUACAAUGGUGGUAAUUUGUCAUUAGAGAAACUGUAUAAUGCAAGGAACAAGCAUCAAAAUAAAAUAUAACAUAAUUUAAAGGCUAAUAAUGGGUAGGAGCCAAGAAAACAAGGGGGUUUAAAACCAGGACAGAAGUUCCUUAGGAUUAUACCAGGUCAAGAGAUCUUUACAGAGGGCCUUAAGGAUUUUUACAUUUUGUUCCAUUAAAUUGGAAUCACUGACAAAGAAACUGCAUUCCUUCCCCAAGACCAUGCAUGUCCCCCCUUGUUGUGCAGUUUCAGAUGGAGGUUUUUUCGAUUGUGGAGAACUACUCCAGCAAGAGCGCUCUGUCUUUGUAGUGACUCCAGGCUUGCAGUAGUUGAUACUAUGGGCUGGUCCAGUUGACUCUGAAAGUCUCCUGCUAGAUGAUGGGUCUGUACAACCGUGACAGUUGCAGUGCUCCCAGCGCCCAGGGAGAGGUGUGACAACAAAGAAGACUCCAGGGAGAUAAAGAGGCCCACAGAGGGAAGGAGAAUGCUUUCUGCCUGGCGGCCUCCACUAAGGACACCUUGUCGGGAAGCCACUGCAACAUGAACAGACCACCUUAACAAACCGGCCCUGAAAGGACCACCUUAUCAGACUGGCCCUGGAAGGCAACCGCAGCUUCCUUCGCAUCUGAGGCCUGGCCGGAGCAGAGAACCUUCGAGGCCCAUCAAGUCAUCUGAGGUCUGGCUGGAACUGCGAACUCCAGAUGCUGGAGGCAAAGUGUCCGAGCCCUACCUGUGGCCAGCUUCUUUGACAAUGAGACAGGUCAUUUCCUGGCAGCACCCCACCCACCUCAAAGAAGAUGAUGAGCUUCGAAGAACCUCCAUAUGGAGAUGGCUUCAAAUGUGGCAAACAAGCCACUCGGAUAAAGAAAAUAGCCUCGCUUCACAACAGACAACUUCUGCCAAAAAUGGGCAAACUUAAAUGCAGGACAAAUCGACUGCCGAACUCUGCCAAGACAGGGGUAUGGAAAACUCAGGUAGAUACCUGAAAGACUGACUUGACCCGUGGAAGAUGGACAAAGAAGGCCCUAAGUGUCUGCAGGGGCUAGACCUGAGGAAAGGAAAGUGAAUGGGGGUGAUGGAGUCAUUGAGCCAUGAAAAAGAGUCUCCUUGUCAGCAAUGAUUCAGAUGAAGAAACUAGUUGACUGAGGGAAAAGAGUUGAAGUCUUGGUGGAUGGGUGUUGUUUCUUGCUGUGUUGUCGCUAUUGAAUACGUCUGUUACUGGUGAUCAUACUGUUCCCUAGGCAAAGAUGGUCACAUGACAAUCGAGGCAGUGAUGUUCAGGCUUUGCAUGAUGAACUAUUUAGCAAUCAGCCCUGAAAUUUAGAUAAAUUCCCCCCUUCAUUACUGUGCAAAACCUAUCAAAGAUUUUUGGUCAUUAUUUUUCUAAUUUUAAUUGGGCUCUAAAAUGUGGUCCAUAGGAAUUUCUUUGGGAUUUUUUAGUUGGUUAUGCGGAGAAGCAUUAUAGCUUUGAGACUGAUUUGCUUCUGCAUGUCUUCUUUGAAUUUUGACAUGUAUACUUUGAAUUAAGAAGGGGAGGGCCUGUGGGGAAUUAUGGUUUUGGCCUGGCAUACAGUUGGUAUGAGAAGCAUGUGCCAGUGGUCUUUUAGUUUAGAGACCUUAGCUCCUGAAGCACUGUGUCCCUUUCAGUGUGUCCCAACACUUAAAGAACUCCCUCAGAGACUUGAACAUUCAAGCCACCUGUGUUCUCUGUCUUCCCUAGAAGUCAGGAAAACAUCCAGAAGCUUGGUAAACAUUUAAUUAAUUAGACAUUAAUUCUGUGUACCCUUAUAGCUUGCAGAUGUCAUUGUAUCCUGGCAGUUACAAUUGUAUUCUCUCUGGAAACUUCCAUCAUAUCCUGCUUCUGAUAAUGAUGUUAAAAUUCUUGCUGCAUGCAAUAAAUUUGUCACAUCCCUAAUUUUCAUGUAGCCCCUCUGACCCAUGCCUAAAAGAUGAAAUAUCCUUUGACCAUAAUCAGGUAUCACUGGCUUGGUAAGUAAGUGCUGAUGUUUACACCAAGACAAAGAACUUUUAAUUCCACUAAGGCUUGCUGAAAUUUACUGAUUCUAUUUUGAAGCCCCAACCCCUUCUCAUUCACUGCCCUUUCCUAAAUCAGUCACCCACCUCCACAUCCAUCAUGGUAGUCAGAACAAGGCAAUUAUUAAAAUAGAACAGGCACAUAUGAAGAAAUGACUCAGGGAGUAGAGGCUAGCACAUAGGCACAUGAAUCUGCAUUCAAAUUUUCAUCUCUGACCGCCCCCCAUAAACUCUGGGUCCCGUACCCCUUUUCCCAGGUACCCUUUUUCCAACUGGAGAAUGUCUUUCCCUGCUAUUGGAAACAAACGGUAACUUCUGCUGAAGGCAGUCUAGUCUCUUUCUGCCUUCUCCCUUUCUAUAUUGCUUUUUAAAUAUAACAGCAUCCAUGGAGUUAAACCUCCCUACCCACCUCUGAAAAGCCCACCUCUUCAGUCAUACCACAUAAGAGACUGCAGAUGUCCAAACUGCAUCAGCUAAUUCUCACUUACACUCAUGGUGUUUAGGAUGGUACUAGAAUAAGGGUCUUUAACAUCCUGUUUUUAUAGAGCCGUCAAUUUUCUUCACGGUUACUGAACAUCCAAACAUGGUUUCUAUGAACAGGUUCAAAGUCUUUUCCUGACCUCACUUAAAAUGACAUCUCUACUUCCAUUGUCAGUUAUCCAUGACUUCCACUUCCGUAAGAAAGAAAGACAUUUUUCUCAGUGAAUUAUAUAAGAUCCGUAUUACUCUGCUGUUGAGUUUUAGAAACUCCAUCUUACAUAAUGCCUGUUGCUCAACUGAACUCUCCUUGUUUGCCGCUGCUCCAGUGCAUUAUGCUCAUCAGAGCCUAUGAAACACCUGGUCAGUCCCUCACAUCCUGUUCCUGAGAUCUAUGUUUCUAAACAACAACUACUUACCAAUUAGGCAUCUGCAGUAAGAGGCUUCAUUUUUAACAAAAUAAUGAGAUGUAAAAAUAGAGUUUCUGCUGUCACUCUAAACCAUGAAACUUUCUGAAAAUCAGACCCUGUUUAAAUGAUGCUUGACAGACAAUGUGAUUUCACAAGGUUCAGUUUACACAGAGAAUAUAAGAGAAUCUUCUGGAGUUCAAAGACAAAUGAAAUCAAUUCCAUUGAAUUUAUUUAUUUAUUUUUAAUCAAAGAAGGAAAAAAUGGCUGGAACACAACACAACAUGGCUGGAAACAAUGACACAUCUUCAACACCAGCACUUGGAAUGUGUGACUCUGUUGCAUCUAUUCAAUAGGCCAUAAGAUUACAGAAUUAUAUUGCAUAAUCCUAAUUUGAUUCUUACAUCCCCUUAUGAAAAAAUUCCUAAUUCUGGACGUACAUUUUAUCCAACAUGAACUAUAUUCUUUGAAAUUCAUUUAUUAUAUGGUGCUUUCAGAUUUGGAACCCAUAUUUACUUAUUUUCAGAAAAUCCAUUGGGUACUCCAAUUUGAUUCAUAUGUGGAAUGAUUGUGAAAUAAUAAAUGCCAUUAAACUCUGGAGUCUUAAAUGAUUCACUAGUGAUAUAUUGCUGCAGUUAGAUAUAGCACUAUUUUUUAACAUCUAUGGAGAGAACUAUUGAAAUAUUUCUAGGUAUUAAAAAAUUAGGUUUUGAAUACUUUGCUGGUAUUUGUGACUUUUAUCUUAAAACACAUAUGAAGCUUUGUUUAUAAUGCCAUAUUUUUACUACAUUAAAACUUUGUGUAUUUAUGAAAACAUCACUUUAUCAAUGGAUUUUUUUCUGUUUUAUAGUUUGAGCUAAAUAUUUAUCAAGUUUAUUUUCAGUAGACUCAAAUCUGUUUUGAUGUCUUGUUUUUCCUACUUUGGUGAUCAUGGAACUAUAAUCAAUUUUUUUCUCAAGAUAUUUUCUCAACAAUCACAACUUAACUCCUUUGCUUCUAUUAUUAGUGUUUUGUUGUUUCUUUUCUACUGUACAAUGUAUGCUUCAAGUAUAGAAUUCUUUCUCUGACUUAAGGUGUAUGAUAUGUGUUUCAUUAACUAAUUUAUGUAAGAAUAACCCUUCUUUUAAAAAAAUAUGCUUUCCUUAUUCUAAAAUAUUAAAUCAGUGAUAUUUUAAUUUUAUUUUUAAAAUUGUUAUCACAUUUACAUUUUACCCUACUUUCACCUUUUAAAAAUUUUAUUUAUUGAUUAUGUGUACAGUGUUCUAUCUGCAUGUAUGCCUGCAGGCCAGAGGAGGACAUCAGAUCUCAUUAUAGUGGCCAUGAGCCACCACGUGGUUGCUGGAAAUUGGACUCAGGACCUUCAGAAGAGCAGACAGUGCUCUUAACCUCUGAGCCAUCUCUCCAGCUCCUACUUUCACUUUUGUGUAUAAUCACUAAUAGAAAAUAACAUACAUUUUUAAAAUAUAUUGUUUGAAUUGAAUGAUUGACAUGCUCCUGCUCUGUGCAUAUUGAAUGUUUAUGUGCCUACCAUAUAGUUAAAGUGCAGGGGAGGAAUGUUCGACAAAAGAAUAUUUUAUUUUCAAUCUCUCUCCUAGUUUUCUUUUUCUCUGUCCUUCCCACACAUGAUCCUUCCUGUAUCCCUACCCACCCCCUCUCCCUCCAUCCACUUCUGAUGUCUAUUUUAUUUCCCCUUCUAAGUGAGAUUCAAGCAUUCUCCCUUGAGUUCUCCUGUCACUUAGCUUCUUUGGGUCUGUGGAUUGUAGCAUACUUAGCCUGUAUUUUAUGGCUAAUAUCCAUUUAUACCAUACAUGUCUUUCUGGGUCUGGGUUGCCUCACUCAGGAUAUUUUCUAGUUUCAUCCAUUUGCAUGCAAAUUUCAUGUUGUCCAAGUUUUUCAUAGUUGAGUAGUAAUCCAUAGUAUAAACAUAACACAUUUUCUUUAUCCAUUCUGUCAUUGAGGGACUUUCAGGUUCUUUCCAGUUUCUGACUAUUACAAAUAAAACUGCUAUGAACAUAGUUGAGCAAGUGUCCUUGUGGAAUGGUGGAGCAUCUUUUGGAUAUAAGCCCAGGAGUGAUAUAGCUUGGUCUUGAGGUAGAAGUAUUUCUAAUUUUCUUGGAAACCACAAAAAUGAUUUCCAGACUUGUGUAAGUGUGGACUCCUUGGAGGGACAUCUCUGGGAUGAG